GUGCACCAGGCGCGAAAACUUCACAAUGUGCGAAAGCACGAUGAGGGAAUCCCAAGUGCUUGCACGUAAGUGUAAGCUGUUUCUCUGUCUAAAACGCAGAGAGAGUAAGGGCUGGGUAAGACGGGUGCCAGCCGCCGCGGUAAUACCUGCAGCUCGAGUGGUGACCGUUAUUAUUGGGCCUAAAACGUCCGUAGCCGGUUUAAUAAAUGCCUGGGUAAAUCGGACCGCUUAACGGUUCGAAUUCCGGGUAGACUGUUAAACUUGAGACCGGGAGAAGUUAGAGGUACUCCUGGGGUAGAGGUGAAAUUCUGUAAUCCUAGGGGGACCACCAGUGGCGAAGGCGUCUAACUAGAACGGGUCUGACGGUGAGGGACGAAGCCCUGGGGCGCAAACGGGGAUUAGAUACCCCUGUAGU
This 415-nucleotide ribosomal RNA is filed under the name uncultured microorganism. Its description in RNAcentral is "bacterial SSU rRNA". It matches the Rfam family "Archaeal small subunit ribosomal RNA", at positions 330 to 745 of the family's 1478-position model. The record is from RNAcentral.